This 84-nucleotide transfer RNA is filed under the name Caudoviricetes sp. RNAcentral's name for it is "tRNA-Leu". It matches the Rfam family "tRNA". Rfam says of the family: Transfer RNA (tRNA) molecules are approximately 80 nucleotides in length. Their secondary structure includes four short double-helical elements and three loops (D, anti-codon, and T loops). Further hydrogen bonds mediate the characteristic L-shaped molecular structure. tRNAs have two regions of fundamental functional importance: the anti-codon, which is responsible for specific mRNA codon recognition, and the 3' end, to which the tRNAs corresponding amino acid is attached (by aminoacyl-tRNA synthetases). tRNAs cope with the degeneracy of the genetic code in two manners: having more than one tRNA (with a specific anti-codon) for a particular amino acid; and 'wobble' base-pairing, i.e. permitting non-standard base-pairing at the 3rd anti-codon position. Lineage: Duplodnaviria; Heunggongvirae; Uroviricota; Caudoviricetes. The record is from RNAcentral. RNAcentral also lists the same sequence under 1 other name.
GGCAUGAUGUUGGAAUUGGUAGACAAGACAGACUUAAACUCUGUUAGGCAUUAGCCUGUGCGGGUUCGAUUCCCGCUCGUGCUA